AAAAAACAUUAUUUAAAAAAUACAAGCUAUUGAUGAAAAGCUAUGAAAACAAAUACUCAUUUAUCAACAAAAUUUCUUGUUAUCCUAAUUUCUAAAUCACAAUCUCAACUCUACAAUAGUUCUCAACAAAACUGAAAACUUUCCAAAAUUAGCAGUUUUAAAAUUUUAUUUAAAAAAUACAAACCUACUGAUGAAAAAUUCUGAAAGAAUACUCAUUUACCAACAAACAUUCUUGUUAUCCUAAUUUCUAAAUGAUAAUUCUAAAUCUAUAAUAGUUCUAUAUAAAAAUGAGAACUUUCCAAAAAUAUCAGUUUUUAAAAAUAUAACCUAUUGAUGAAAAAUUAUGAAAGAAUUCUCAUCUAAGUAUAAAAAUUCAUGUAC
RNAcentral lists this long non-coding RNA (381 nucleotides) under Brassica napus (rape). RNAcentral's name for it is "long non-coding RNA (BNAP_LNC025088)". Lineage: Eukaryota; Viridiplantae; Streptophyta; Magnoliopsida; Brassicales; Brassicaceae. The record is from RNAcentral.